Molecule: ribosomal RNA, 220 nt
Filed under: uncultured bacterium
Lineage: Bacteria
Description: partial 16S ribosomal RNA
Rfam family: Bacterial small subunit ribosomal RNA
Source: RNAcentral
GCAAGUCGAACGAACCGUUUACGGUGAGUGGCGCACGGGUGCGUAACACGUGGGAACAUACCCUUUGGUACGGAACAACGUCUGGAAACGGGCGCUAAUACCGUAUAAUGUCUUCGGACCAAAGAUUUAUCGCCAAAGGAUUGGCCCGCGUCUGAUUAGCUUGUUGGUAAGGUAAUGGCUUACCAAGGCGACGAUCAGUAGCUGGUCUGAGAGGAUGAUC